AGUGAACGCUGGCGGUAGGCCUAACACAUGCAAGUCGAACGGCAGCACAGUAAGAGCUUGCUCUUACGGGUGGCGAGUGGCGGACGGGUGAGGAAUACAUCGGAAUCUACUUUUUCGUGGGGGAUAACGUAGGGAAACUUACGCUAAUACCGCAUACGACCUACGGGUGAAAGCAGGGGAUCUUCGGACCUUGCGCGAUUGAACGAGCCGAUGUCGGAUUAGCUAGUUGGCGGGGUAAAGGCCCACCAAGGCGACGAUCCGUAGCUGGUCUGAGAGGAUGAUAAGCCACACUGGAACUGAGACACGGUCCAGACUCCUACGGGAGGCAGCAGUGGGGAAUAUUGGACAAUGGGCGCAAGCCUGAUCCAGCCAUACCGCGUGGGUGAAGAAGGCCUUCGGGUUGUAAAGCCCUUUUGUUGGGAAAGAAAAGCAGCAGGUUAAUACCCCGCUGUUCUGACGGUACCCAAAGAAUAAGCACCGGCUAACUUCGUG
This 492-nucleotide ribosomal RNA is filed under the name uncultured bacterium. RNAcentral describes it as "partial 16S ribosomal RNA". It matches the Rfam family "Bacterial small subunit ribosomal RNA", at positions 29 to 507 of the family's 1533-position model. The record is from RNAcentral.